GUGAUGAUUGAGUUUUAAUGUCCCGUGAAAUGUGCCUUCCACAAGACUUGCUAUGAUGUGGGCACAUC
This 68-nucleotide small nucleolar RNA is filed under the name Marmota monax (woodchuck). The record is from RNAcentral. Lineage: Eukaryota; Metazoa; Chordata; Mammalia; Rodentia; Sciuridae.